This 94-nucleotide transfer RNA is filed under the name Planctomycetota bacterium. RNAcentral describes it as "Planctomycetes bacterium (activated sludge metagenome) tRNA-Ser". The record is from RNAcentral. Lineage: Bacteria; Pseudomonadati; Planctomycetota.
GGAGAGCCUCGCCGAUCAGCGACGGCAGCUGGUUGCUAACCAGUGGUCUCGGACACCCCGGGAUCUGCAGGUGCAAAUCCUGCGCUCUCCGCCA